This 404-nucleotide ribosomal RNA is filed under the name uncultured bacterium. RNAcentral's name for it is "partial 16S ribosomal RNA". It matches the Rfam family "Bacterial small subunit ribosomal RNA", at positions 28 to 526 of the family's 1533-position model. The record is from RNAcentral.
GACGAACGCUGGCGGCGUGUCUAAUACAUGCAAGUCGAACGCCGUGGGGACGGGUGAGUAACACGUGGGUAACCUCCCAUCAGAGGGGAUAACACUCGGAAACAGGUGCUAAAACCGAUAUUGACGGAGGGACCCGCGGUGCAUUAGCUAGUUGGAGCGGUAACGGCUCGCCAAGGCCACGAUGCAGAGCCGACCUGAGAGGGUGAUCGGCCACACUGGGACUGAGACACGGCCCAGACUCCUACGGGAGGCAGCAGUAGAGAAGCUUCGGCAAUGGACGAAAGUCUGACCGGGCAACGCCGCGUGAGUGAAGAAGGUUUUCGGAUCGUACAACUCCGUUGUUAUAGAAGCGGUAUCUAACCAGAAAGCCACGGCUAACUACGUGCCAGCAGCCGCGGUAAUUC